UACGUAGGUGGCAAGCGUUGUCCGGAUUUAUUGGGCGUAAAGCGAGCGCAGGCGGUUCCUUAAGUCUGAUGUGAAAGCCCACGGCUUAACCGUGGAGGGUCAUUGGAAACUGGUCGACUUGAGUGCAGAAGAGGGAAGUGGAAUUCCAUGUGUAGCGGUGAAAUGCGUAGAGAUAUGGAGGAACACCAGUGGCGAAGGCGGCUUCCUGGUCUGUAACUGACACUGAGGCGCGAAAGCGCGGGGAGCAAACAGGAUUAGAUACCCCU
Molecule: ribosomal RNA, 266 nt
Filed under: uncultured prokaryote
Description: partial 16S ribosomal RNA
Rfam family: Bacterial small subunit ribosomal RNA
Source: RNAcentral